UUUUAAGGAGUUUAUCCAGGCUUCUGGCUUAAGGUUUUCUUUGGUGAAAAUCAGCCUGAUGUGCUUUAGUGAUUCUGAAGCUGUGUUAGGAAGAGAUUCAUUCUGAUUUUAGCUGGUUUGCAUGCUUUUGUGUAAGAUUUAGCUGAAACAAUGGACUUCAUGGGGAGACCAGGGAAACUUUCCUUUGAAACUGAAUAUUCAGCUCAGACCCAGGUAGAAUAGAGGUGACUUGGCAGAAGAGGAGGAGUUUCCAAGUCACAAGGACCACACUUGUAAACGUGAGCACUGUCCAGCUUCUGACAGUUUCACCCGGGGAAAUUUUGUGCAGUGUCUUCAGCAUUCAGAAGCCAUGAAUACUAAGGAAGGUACAACUAGUUGAAGAUAUCAGUGAGGCGUGGGAAAGAAAACAAAAAGAAUGACAAUAGGGCCUUACUAAUAAGGAUCAUAAUUUGAAACCAGCCGCUAUCCACAUGUGGUGAUGGAGCUGCUGAAAUGAGA
Molecule: long non-coding RNA, 498 nt
Organism: Gorilla gorilla gorilla (western lowland gorilla)
Lineage: Eukaryota; Metazoa; Chordata; Mammalia; Primates; Hominidae
Source: Ensembl